UUUGUUGCCAGCAUGUUUGGGUGGGCACUCUAGAGAGACUGCCGGUGACAAGCCGGAGGAAGGUGGGGAUGACGUCAAGUCCUCAUGGCCCUUAUGUCCUGGGCUACACACGUGCUACAAUGGCGGUGACAGUGGGAAGCUAGAUGGCGACAUCGUGCUGAUCUCUAAAAACCGUCUCAGUUCGGAUUGUACUCUGCAACUCGAGUACAUGAAGGUGGAAUCGCUAGUAAUCGCGGAUCAGCAUGCCGCGGUGAAUACGUUCCCGGGCCUUGUACACACCGCCCGUCACACCAUGGGAGUUGGUUUGCACCCUUAAGCCGGUGAGCGAACCCGUCAAGGGGCGCAGCCGACCACGGUCGGUCAGCGACUGGGGUGAAG
RNAcentral lists this ribosomal RNA (378 nucleotides) under Acetobacter orientalis. Its description in RNAcentral is "bacterial SSU rRNA". It matches the Rfam family "Bacterial small subunit ribosomal RNA", at positions 1111 to 1485 of the family's 1533-position model. Lineage: Bacteria; Pseudomonadati; Pseudomonadota; Alphaproteobacteria; Acetobacterales; Acetobacteraceae. The record is from RNAcentral.